RNAcentral lists this ribosomal RNA (253 nucleotides) under uncultured bacterium. Its description in RNAcentral is "partial 16S ribosomal RNA". It matches the Rfam family "Bacterial small subunit ribosomal RNA", at positions 524 to 776 of the family's 1533-position model. The record is from RNAcentral.
GACGAAGGAUGCAAGCGUUAUCCGGAUUCAUUGGGUUUAAAGGGAGCGUAGGCAGAUUUGUAAGUCAGUGGUGAAAUCUCCGGGCUCAACCCGGAAACUGCCAUUGAUACUGCAGGUCUAGAGUACAGUUGCCGUUGGCGGAAUAUGACAUGUAGUGGUGAAAUACUUAGAUAUGUCAUAGAACACCGAUUGCGAAGGCAGCUAACGAAGCUGUAACUGACGCUGAGGCUCGAAAGUGCGGGGAUCAAACAGG